Oryctolagus cuniculus (rabbit) is the source of this 3943-nucleotide non-coding RNA. The record is from RefSeq and is a predicted model, not a curated record. Lineage: Eukaryota; Metazoa; Chordata; Mammalia; Lagomorpha; Leporidae.
UGCCAGCUUCUCUGGUCCACAGAUGUCUCAGGAUGCAGCCCCACCCUCCUUGGUCACAGCAGUGGGAUUUGCAAAUGAGCAGCACACCAGAGUUAUACCCAACCUUAAGGUGGACUUCAACAGAAGGUACCAAAGAAACCUGCAGACUUUGUAUAUUUACCCAGGGAUCACUUUUCUGGUGGUGAGAUGUAACCAGCUCUUUUGUGGAAUGGAGUAAUCACUGCCUGCCAGUAACACAACGCUACGAUGUGGAGAGAAGGAAAUGAAGGCUAGCUCAUCCAAAGGAAACUACAGGGGGAGUUUAGAUCGGCAGAAUGCAAUUACCCAAGUUGGAAUUCUUCCAAGACACCAAGCUAAUAACACACUGGAAAUGGGAUAACACAGCUGCAGAACAGAGCUCUGAAGUCCAGAAUCCUCCUGUCCCACUAGCUUGGUUAAAGGUUUCAGGAAAAACGAAGACUGAAGCUAACUGAAGUUUUAAUAGCCACAAAUGUCUCUCAGCGUUUCUCUCCCUCAGGAAGACAAUAUCAGAGUGCUGGCACCGAUCUCUUAAAAUUAUACUGGCAAAAGAUAAACAAAGCUCAAGAUAUAGAAAUAUAUUUUACACAGAAAAAAAGAAUAAAGAAAAACACACUGAAACCAAAUCCUCAUAUUUCUUGGCUCGCAGUAGCAGGCUGACUAGUUACCCAAAAUGAGCUUACUGCAGAAUCACUCUGUUCUCACCACAGGCACAAUUUACCAACUGGGUGCAGCAGACACCGGGCUGGCUCCUGAACUUCUCUCCUCCAAUUAAGCUGCACAACCUGUUACCAUUUUGCCAAUGGACUCUAUUUACUUAGGUUCUGCAUAACUUGCCAAGUGCUCACUCUGUGGAAUUCCCAGCAAAGAGAAAGGAACAAUUGGGGGGAAUUUUUGCUAACAUCCUUCCUUUCAACUUUCCACAGCAGAGGGGAAUGCAUCAACAUGGAGCAGAUGCGCUGAGACCAAAUGCUCUCUUCCUCAUGAUUACAGUUGGUUAUACCUGUGGAUAGGCAAGCUAAUUCUGCUGCAAAUGUGCAAGAGAGGGUAGUACUAACGUACAAUGUGUGGUCCUGGAGGCUUUGUUCUCACAUAAUAGGGUGCUUCGUUUCACAAGGCCUGGCACACAGAGAGCCAUACUGCAGCAAACAGCCCCUUGCUGUUGGAAUCGCGGUCUAUCUCUGUACCGCUCCGAGAAUGCCCUUGUUCUCAGCAAUGUUGACAUAAAUAUUGUGAAAUUUCUUAUCUGGAGUUGGAAAGUAAUGAUUCUUUCUACUUAAUGUGCUCAGUGACUCUGCACCCUAUUGUUUUCUGCCAUUUGAAAAUGCCCGGGGAUGUCAUUAUAACUACAUGUAUCAGUAUUAAACCUUCGCAAACAGUUGACUAAAUGAGCUGUUAUUAUCUUUGUUUCUGAAAAGAGUGUACCUUUUUACUUCAUUUAUCAGUAACUAGGUGUAGUCGAUUGCACUCUGGUAUUGAUCCCAAUAUCUAUACCCGUCACAGACUACCUUUCCUCAAGGUCAUCGUGAGGUCGUGUUAUGAUCAAUAUGAAUUGACUGUCUGCAAAUAAAUUUAUGUAGCUGACAUAAUUGCAAGUAAUACCUUUUUCAAAUUAAGGUGGACCAUUUUAUGAAGCAUAUGUGUUUGAAACACUAACAGUAACAUCAUCCAACUCUGCAUAAUGAACCAAUCUCGCUAGAAUUUACAAGUCCUCUUUGUGUAACUGAAAGCUGGGUAAGCUCCCUGAUGAUCAUUUCUAAAUAACACCUGCAGAGUUCCAAGCGUCAGGUUUAGUGAAGAUGCUAAUUAUGUUUUCCAAGCGGUAGUAUUUUCCUGUGUAGCCCCUAUGUGCAUUUUUAUUUCCAAAUUUCAAGUCUCAUUUCUAUCAGUUCGCUUUCAAAGUUCUGAGUAGAAUGUUUAGUCGCCCUAAUCAGAGCAACACAUUCGGUAAAACCAACUUCCUUGAGUAGAAAUAGGAUCACCAAAUGCAGAGCGGAUACCAGUGCCAUCGCCUUACCAUGGGCCCCUCGCGCUGCGGGGAGUUGUACUUGUGAUCAGCCUGCUAGCCACUGGAUGUCACUGACGCUUACAUAAAUGGAGCUUAAGGGGCAUUUAUCUGACUGUAAAAAUCAUGACUUCAGUAGAAAGCAGUUUAGCUAGAAACAUUUCACUCAGGCAAUUUCUAAUUUCAGAAAAAUAGGCUCAUAAAGCUCACAAAGGCGAUACCCAACUUCAAGCGUGAUUAGUUUCAGUUGUUUGUUUCAGCUUUAACUGGGAUAUGAAUAAACAGCAAGUUUUGGGGGUGCAUUCCAUUUUGACAGCAGCUGCCAUUCUGCUUUUAAAGGGAUACUACCCAAUCAGGUUUGUGACAUCGUGAAAAGCUUAUCAGCAAGUCCAAAUUACAAAACAGUGAUUUGGGAUAUCUUUUUAAUUCUGUAAUUAGUUUUUUAACGCAAGGCUCUGCAUUUAACUGUUUUGUGUAAAACAUACCCUUAUUCAAAAGGUAAAGGUUAUUUGAAACGUUUAAAAUGUACUUCUGUGGUGCAAAUGACUUAGAUUCAGAUUUUAAACAGGAAGUAGUACUUUGUAAAGCAUAAUUAAUGAUGGCAAGUGUCAGAAAAACACUAUUGAGCAUAUUGUAAAAUGGCUUCCACCAUUAAAUUCAUUCUCAAAUCAGAUUAUACCAGUGGAAUAUAAUUUUCCUUGACAAUUUCAUGAAUUCUUUUUCUAGGACAUAUCAGGGAAACCAAUCAGACCUAUCAGUAGAUGGUCUACAGUGUAAAUAUGAAAAGAUGCAAUAGAUUGGAAAGUUCUAGCAAAAUGAGGAUUUAUCUUUUGUCUUGAAUAUAGAUACAAAGCAAAUGUAGUAUGUGAGUGGCUUGGAGAAAAGGCACUAUAUAAGAGCAAAGAAUUAUGACAAAUGACAUCGCAACAGACAUGCUGCCAUCCCAGAGCUUGAGCCAUUUGAGAAGCUAUUUUGAAUUAAUAACGCAUGCCAUCGUGAUUACAUUUGCUUAGCAGAAACAUUUUAAGAAAUAACAGCCUGCAAAAGGAAACUGAAACAAUAGUUCUCUAUCCCCAUAUAAUAUAUAAUUACCAUUUUUCUUUGGAAAGAAAGGUUCAAAAUCCAUAGUAACUGUAGCCUAGAUUCUUGUUUUUAAGUGGCUAUAUAUUCACAUAUGCAGUACAAACAAUUUAAUAUUCCCCACCCAAAAAUAAAGUAUUAUGCUACUGGAAAUAUAAAUUCAGAAGAACUAGCUCACCCACUGGCAGCUCACAUUAUUAGAAUUAAAUUUUCUGGGGGUGGGGGUGGGGUGAGGCAACAUAACUGAAACUCAACCAGCUUUUUGCACAAGAGACCCAGUGAAGGAUAGCAUAGCAAUCACACCCCAUCCAUCUCCUCCUUCUCCCACCCCCCCAAAGCCAAAAUUAUGAAAAUUAAUUGUAUGUGCAUUGGGGCAAAGUGAUCUGUUGCCAAGUUGAUUCAAAACCAACACUCUCUACCCAAAUAAUGGAAGCCAAGCAAAUGUGUCAUAAAUUGCUCAUAGUUCAAGUAUCUGGAAACACCUGGAAUCCCACCUUUAGGCAGUUGAUGCUUGGCAAAAGGCACAAAGAUAACACUUCAAGCAGUUCCCUCACUGUCUGUUAAACCAUGUUUCCACCUUAAAUAAAUUAAAGCAUGCAGCAGCAGUAGGUAAGGUGGUCAAUGCAAUUAAAUUCAAAACCUGAAUGUAUUGAACUUUCUGCAAUUAUACAUGGGUCAUCUCUGGACAAUAUGUUGGCCAUCUGGUAGCAUCUGUGCUGUUCCCUCUAAUAGAGUUCCUGCUGUGGCUCGAGGCCAUGACAGGCAGCACUAAGCAGGUCACAUGUUGUGUCUUUCAGCCAUAUUUAGGUCACAAUUUGGGGUGGGAGGAGGCAAGAAUUA